Non-coding RNA from Danio rerio (zebrafish), 2726 nucleotides. NCBI's taxonomy places the organism in Eukaryota, Metazoa, Chordata, Actinopteri, Cypriniformes, Danionidae. The record is from RefSeq and is a predicted model, not a curated record.
UAAGAACAAGAGAGAUUGAACAAGAGAGACCCCCUCAGUUGAACAAUGGAGGAGUUUGGUGACACCAGAGCAAAACAAUCAUGGACUUAGGAUUGAACAACCGCUUGAUAGUUAAUGAAAAUAUUUCUUUAGCACAGCCAUGAUAUGGACAGAUUUCACGUACGGUAUGCAAAACUGUCCCGUCAAAGUAAUGAUGUGCCUGUAUGUUGGAGGUGAAAAGAUUGUCAAAGAAGAAAAAAAACGAUGAUAGCGAAGACUCUUAUGGACUGCGCCAGAGAGGAGAGCAUGAUGUUGCAAAACUUCGGCAGAAGGGAAAAAAGCAGAGAGGAAUGGAGGGAGGGGUGGAAAAGGAGGAAGGUGUGGAGGACGGCAGGAGAAGAGGGAAAGCAAGUCUCUGCAUCUCAAGUGCUUAACAGUGACCUUAGAAUUUGUGUUUCUCCCUCUCUCUCUCUCUCUCUCUCUCUCUCUCGUUCUCUCUGCAUUAAAGUACAAUGCUGCAUUUCUUUAGAGCGUCCCAGGAAGAACUACUAGAGUGCCUGCAGCCCUGCCUACUUCUUGUUCUUUCCUUCUCCCUCCUUUUUUUUCCAACUUUAUGAUACAUUGAUGGAGAAGUAUGACUAAGGCCUGAGAGCAGAGGAGAAGUUGCUGGACUUGUAUGGGAUUCAUGUACAAAUUAUUUGCUAAUUUAGGAGAGAAGGAUUGUGGUUUGAGGGUUCAUAAGUUGAACAAAGAAACUCCUGUAUUUCAUUUCAUUAGGUGACUGGACACCAUGGCACUGUGGCAGGGAGAUCUUCCUAACAUGGCAUGUUUGAUCGCUACACGAGAAUACCAGGGAGUGUUGAAUGGGACCAUAACAGGAUGAAGGGUCAAACAAGUUUAUAUAUCUUCAGGCAGGAGGCUUAAAUUUCUGAAAGCAUUGAUGGUGCCAUCACAGAAGUGCAUGUUUCCUUUGCCAAGGGCACUGAUACGACCCCAAACCAUGACGGACCCUGACCUACAGUAUGGACUUGUUGCUGGUCUGGAUGAUCUUUUUCUUGUUUUGUCUGGAAGCCCAAAGCGUCUAUUUCUUCCAAAAAUACCUGAAAUACUGAUUUAUCUGACCACAGUACACACUGCUUCUGGACACUGUUAACAUAGGGAUUUCUUGGGCAGGGUACAGUUUUAACUGGCAUUUGUGAAUGUAACUACAUAUUAUAGUACUUGACAAAAGUUUGCCAAAGUAGUUCUGAGCUCAUGUGGUUAUCACUCAUAGAUAAAUGAUGAUGCUUGAUGCAGUGCUGCCUGAGGGAUUGGAGAUCACUGUUGUUCAGCUUAGUCUUCGACCUUGUCUUUUAUGCACUGAAAUUCCUCCAGAUUGUUUGAAUUUUUAAAUUAUGUUAUGCACUGUUGAAGGUGAAAUAUCCAAACGUCUUCCUAUCUUUCUUUAAGGAACAAAGAAAUUACAUCAUACUUUAAAUAUUUGUAAAAUUUUCUCACGUAUUUGUUGACAAACUGGUGAUUAUCAGCCCAUCUUUGCUUAUCAGAAAAGACUAGUCCUUUCUUGGAUGCUGCUUUUGUACCAAAUCCUAGUUACAAUCCCCUGUUUACAUCACCUGUUUCAAAUCACAUAAUUAUUUAACCAAUUUAGCUGAUUUCUAGCCCUAAAUUGCUCCUGUCCCAACUUUUUUUGGAAUAUGUUGCAGGUCUGAGUGACCGGAAAGAAUGUAUAUUUACAAGGAAAAUUAAGUUUAUCAGACAAAAUAUAAAAAUUUUUGCAUUCAUAUUGUCUGCAAUAAAAUACAAGUCAAAGUAAAUUUAGAAAUCACUAAAUUUUUUUUUGCAUUUUCCAUACUGUCCCAACCUUUCUGAUUUGGUGUUGUAAAGUAUAUGUAGAAAUGUUACGACUCUCUUACUCUCUUAGGCAAAAACAAAACAAAACAAAACAUAACUGUACUGAAUACAGUAUGUUGUUUAGUUUCUUCCCUGAAGAUAAAUUCUGUGCUUAUAUUUGAUAAGAUACUUAAACUUUAUUGAAUUUACUUUGUCAAGCAUUUUUAUUCUGAUUGAAACCAAUAAGCAUUCCAAGCCAUAUUAAACAAUACUGAGGAAAUUACUAGCCAUAUAUGAUCACACAACGUCUUGUAAAAGGUCAUGAAGUUAGCUGAAAACAAAAACACUGACAUACAAUAACCACCACAAAAGACACUAUGGCCCAAUACCAAUUCCAAUUUAUACCCCUACGCCUUUCCCUUGGCACUUGAAAUUAAGUGUCUAUCAGAAUUUCAAACAUUUUGCUGCGGUUAUUCUAACUAUUGUUAGAAAUAUUUUGAGAUUUCUUUUAACAUUUGUUCGAAUAUCACAAACCUUAGCACUUUGACACCAUUAUAAAUGUAAUAAAUUGGAUACAUGUUUGUAGUAAAUCCCUAUUUUUUUUAGCUGUGGGGAUCCCUUUGUUGUUUGCAGCUGAUUUAUUCAGGAAAAUGUCUAAUACCCUUUUGUUUGUAGUGUGGUCCGGAAAAAUCUUUGUUUGAAAGGGAAGGGCUAAGGGGUAGAAUUGGGAUUAGGCCUACAGAGCCCAACCAGAUAAAAAAGAAAAGCUAUAAACAGACUGAUAGCAACCAGAUAAUUCAGGACAGAAAUCAUAAACCAGAUGGACAGACUGAUGAAACAAAUAUGGAAAGAGAACUUGAAAGGUCUACUGUCAACCACAGUCACAUGACCACCAAAACACACCAGCUAGCAAUCGG